UUGGGCGAGAGUAGUACUAGGAUGGGUGACCCCCUGGGAAGUCCUUGUGUUGCAUCCCU
This 59-nucleotide ribosomal RNA is filed under the name Solanum arcanum. The record is from RNAcentral. Lineage: Eukaryota; Viridiplantae; Streptophyta; Magnoliopsida; Solanales; Solanaceae.